UUACAAUGAUGAUCCAAAUUGCAUUUUUUCUGGCAUCUCUAAUGUUAGCGUCCUCCGGGACCCGAUGAAUAUAAUUUUUACUCUGAAA
Molecule: small nucleolar RNA, 88 nt
Filed under: Yarrowia lipolytica
Lineage: Eukaryota; Fungi; Ascomycota; Dipodascomycetes; Dipodascales
Also listed under: 1 other name
Description: Small nucleolar RNA snR48
Rfam family: Small nucleolar RNA snR48
About the family: snR48 is a member of the C/D class of snoRNA which contain the C (UGAUGA) and D (CUGA) box motifs. Most of the members of the box C/D family function in directing site-specific 2'-O-methylation of substrate RNAs.
Source: Rfam by way of RNAcentral